CCUGUUUGGUUGUUUACAGAUAGUAAAAAAGGUACAACCACACCAAACAAACAGCCAAAACAUUAAAACCACUGUCUAGGCCUCACCUGUACCAACAGAACAGCCAUGAUCCAUCAAGGUGUGAACUCCACAAGUCCCUGAACCUUCUGCAGUAUCUUCUGGAACAUCACUACCAAGUCAUGGGAUCACAGGGGCAGCAGUGCAGAAGAGAAUGCAGAAUUCGCUCAUCCAGUGUCCAGGCAGUCAGUAGAGGAGCGAAGAGGGAGGGAACCAGACGCCAAGAGAAAGAGAGAGAAAAAGAGAGCGAGAGGCGCAAACUCGGAGACUCUACAAAGAGAGGGAAGGCAGAGAGAGUGUGGCUGGGCGAGAGACACUGAGAAAGAGAAAGGGACGAAAGAGAGACAGAGAGAGAGAGAGAGAGAGACAGAAGGAGAGAGAGUUUUCUUUAGGAAGUCCAGAGCGACUGCUGUAGAGGACACACUCCUGUCCACUAACCCUGAGGAGAAGAACAGGAGGAAAAGACUAGGACUAGCCUGGAAGAAGACCAUUCAAACUAAGUGUCCAUUCCCUCGUCCCCCUUCCUAAAAGGACACCAACCACACUUAUUCCCGUCCCAUACCUUUCAAGAUCUGUCCAUCAUCUGUCCAGGCUGUGCAGCGACUGGACCUGGGAAGACUUCUGCUGGACAUAGUAGAAGCAGAAGAAGACAAGAAGGAGACAACUGGGGAAGCAGAAGAAGAAAAAGAAGCACUACUUGUAAAGAGUGUCUGCCGGCUUUGUCCGAGGUUUGGGAGGAGCAAGGAAAGGAGAAAAGAUAAAGAAGAAAAAGGCAGAAGAAAGAAGACGCACCGGAUAAAGAAAGGAAGAAAGAAAGAGAAAGGCGAGGGGCGCCGUCACCACUCGUGAGGAUCAUGGGGAUCACCGGGAUCACAGGGAUCAGGGGAAGCUACUCCGGAGGCUGGAAGUGGGCACCACCACCGCUACUGCUGAUGAUGCUUCUCAGCGCCAUCGUCUUCGGUGGUUCCAGCGCAUGUCCUGCGCUGUGCACCUGCAGCGGCACCACGGUGGACUGCCACGGACUGGGGCUCAAGACCGUUCCCAGGAAUAUACCCAGGAACACGGAGAGGCUGUGAGUAAACCUUUCGUUCCUCGCUUUUCUAGAGUUUAAAACCAGUUAAGGGUCACGGCUGGACAC
This 1195-nucleotide long non-coding RNA is filed under the name Astyanax mexicanus (Mexican tetra). RNAcentral's name for it is "lncRNA (ENSAMXG00005014759.1)". Lineage: Eukaryota; Metazoa; Chordata; Actinopteri; Characiformes; Acestrorhamphidae. The record is from RNAcentral.